RNAcentral lists this ribosomal RNA (698 nucleotides) under Anabaena iyengarii RPAN6. RNAcentral's name for it is "bacterial SSU rRNA". It matches the Rfam family "Bacterial small subunit ribosomal RNA", at positions 345 to 1058 of the family's 1533-position model. The record is from RNAcentral. Lineage: Bacteria; Bacillati; Cyanobacteriota; Cyanophyceae; Nostocales; Nostocaceae.
ACCCCCACAUUGGGGAAUCUUCCGCAAUGGGCGAAAGCCUGACGGAGCAAUACCGCGUGAGGGAGGAAGGCUCUUGGGUUGUAAACCUCUUUUCUCAGGGAAGAACACAAUGACGGUACCUGAGGAAUCAGCAUCGGCUAACUCCGUGCCAGCAGCCGCGGUAAUACGGAGGAUGCAAGCGUUAUCCGGAAUGAUUGGGCGUAAAGCGUCCGCAGGUGGCUGUGUAAGUCUGCUGUCAAAGAGCAAAGCUCAACUUUGUAAAGGCAGUGGAAACUACACGGCUAGAGUGCGUUCGGGGCAGAGGGAAUUCCUGGUGUAGCGGUGAAAUGCGUAGAGAUCAGGAAGAACACCGGUGGCGAAGGCGCUCUGCUAGGCCGCAACUGACACUGAGGGACGAAAGCUAGGGGAGCGAAUGGGAUUAGAUACCCCAGUAGUCCUAGCUGUAAACGAUGGAUACUAGGCGUGGCUUGUAUCGACCCGAGCCGUGCCGUAGCUAACGCGUUAAGUAUCCCGCCUGGGGAGUACGCACGCAAGUGUGAAACUCAAAGGAAUUGACGGGGGCCCGCACAAGCGGUGGAGUAUGUGGUUUAAUUCGAUGCAACGCGAAGAACCUUACCAAGGCUUGACAUGUCGCGAACUCUUCUGAAAGGAAGAGGUUCUUUGGGAGCGCGAACACAGGUGGUGCAUGGCGUCGUCAA